Calypte anna (Anna's hummingbird) is the source of this 613-nucleotide long non-coding RNA. RefSeq lists it as uncharacterized. The record is from RefSeq and is a predicted model, not a curated record. The transcript has 3 exons. NCBI's taxonomy places the organism in Eukaryota, Metazoa, Chordata, Aves, Apodiformes, Trochilidae.
CCGCGGGGUCCCGCCAUCCCCGCUCCGACUCGGCGGCGGCUCGGCGGAAGGCUCCGGUGGCGGCAUAGGCGGCCGGAGGAGGAGAGGCGAAGAGCUCUGCACCGUCCGAGCGGUCGUGCAACCUAAGAAGCUUCUUCAGCUGCAUUCUUGAGCUGGGGCUGGGAGAAGCCGGGUGGGCAGCGAGAGACAGCCAUCCCUCUGGACACCAGCUGACUGCGGAGAAAUCAGCCUGCAUCCCUGUCAUUUCCCUCGGCUAUCAGACCAAGGAACUGCCCCGGAGAACGGGAGGUAACCGUGCACCUCUGAGCUCGUCCUGUUCUGCAAUCCCGCGUGUUAUUCGGCGGCGGGGCCCGGCUGCCGGGCCGCAGGUGAUGCGGGGAAGGCGGCGGAGCCCCGUCGGGUUCCGGGCCCCGCAGGAGCGUGAACGGCCGCCGGCGGAACAUGUGCGCUGCACGCAUCGGCACUAUCUUCUCUUGACAAAGUGGAUGUGUGAUUAAUGCCGACCGACGGCUCCCCCCCGUCCUGCUCCCCCUCCUCUUUUCUCCUCCCUUCUCGCCCCCUCCUCCCAAGGUCCUUCGCCGGUUUCAAUAAAAGGCAGGAUCUAAGCUUUCUC